This is an RNA transcript of Phyllopteryx taeniolatus (common seadragon), 5976 nucleotides long. It is a transcript of the gene named CLOCK-interacting pacemaker a, with no coding region annotated. Lineage: Eukaryota; Metazoa; Chordata; Actinopteri; Syngnathiformes; Syngnathidae. The record is from RefSeq and is a predicted model, not a curated record. The transcript is spliced from 4 exons.
AGAGCCGUCAAUCCUGCCAUAACAAGAAAACAGGGAAAGGCUGGAUAGCAAGACAUCAAUAUACGUAGUGGGGGCGGGGGAACAACAACAAAAAACUUUGCACGUGUUCCCAGUUUACGGCAAUCUGUUUUUAAUCCAGAGUCGUAUUGGUAAGGUUUACAAUUUGCCUCGCAGAUAAAGGUUGUCUCCCCACGCGCUGGUUGCCACGCCAACUGUAUGCUAAUGUUAGCUUGCGUACCCAGUGAACAGUUUACAAAAUAAAAAGAAAAACUCGCGUGACCAACAGUAAAGUGGAUCAUUCUAAUUAUUUUAACAGACUUAUUGUUUCAAGCAAGCGAUAGUGACUGAACGUUUGCCUUCAGUCAUGUGCUAUCUUGCUAACGUUAGCAAAUGUCGCAACAACGCUGGCACUCACCAACUUUCGUCAUUGUCGUCUUUUUGUAGCCCACGCUAAUGUCAAAUUGCAUUCUCGUGAAUGUUUGGAACAGUAUUAUGACGCGUUUAAUUAUUAGGUCCGUUAUCCCUUGAAAUGUUGAAUGUGCAUUCGCUGUUGUUUACGUCAUUUGUAACUUGACAGCAGAUUAGGGUCAUAAUCGUUUUUGUGACCUAUUUUCGACCUGCAUCACUGAGGAUUGUUCAUGUCCUCAAUGAAUCUGGAGAGUCAAUCAUGUUUUCAUCGAACUAAUUACUAAAAUUUGUUUCAAGCUCUAUGGUGUUGUGUCGCUUAUCAUUUCAUGUUCCUUAAUUUCCCCCCAAAAUUAUUUGAGUGACUCCCCUGGUGACUCCUGACGGGACAAGCCGAAAGUCACAACAACAUUUUAUGCCCUCCUCCUCCUAUACUCUCAGCAGGGUGAGACAAAUAUGAGCAGCUUUAGUCAACCUGUCCAACACAGGACAUCAUCAUUCACAAGGGUAACACACCACGGCACAUCCAAGCAGGACUUGGAACGUGAUUCGGGCUUCUCAGAUGCCAGCUCUGAGUACCUGAGUGCAGUUGAUGGGACCGACUCUGAGGAUGCAGGCAGAAAAAGGUCCACAGUCGGCCAGGAUGCGGCCGGUGUGCAGGUGGCUGUGAUGGGAGGCUCGUAUGCUGGACUUUCCCCGAUGCUCAUUAUGAAUAACUUUGUCCUUAAUCAGCCUUCACAGGUGACUCCAGCAGAGAAACAGUGGGGCUUUCUUUCAUCUCUCGAUGUCAUACCACAAUCUCAGAUGGUUCUUCUUCAACCAAUGAUCUCGCCAAGGGCAACCCCUGAAAAUAUCCCACAGUCAAAAACCUACACAUCCACCCUCAAAUCAUAUACCAGAAUCGCCCCAAACCCAGUGGACACACCCUCUAAAAGGUCAGGAUCCUCAAGAAUGAGGGGAAGUUCAUCCUCAGCAUAUGACCAGCAACACAGGCGACAUCAACAAGGCAACAGGCAGCGCGGCACUCCCAUCCCUGAGUGGGCCCCACAGGCUCCCAGCAAAGCAAGUUUGUCCAAGUUUGAUACAUCAAACAACCGCUCAGCUCUGUCGGCUCAGAGCUCAGACCCGCUUAAGGAGAAGUGUCUCCCCUCAGUGACUGGGACCACCUCUGUGCCCCUGUGCACGUAUCAGUCUAGGACUGAACUGGGCGACACCCAGCUGUGUCCUGACAUUUACUCGGACAGCCUCUUGGCCGAGAGCAUCAAGUUGAAGCGUUUCAGCAAUACCUACAACAUCCUCAGCAACUGCGGCCUGCUGGGCAUUACUAUGCGCACCAAGCAGCUGAUCAAGGAGAACAAGCGCACCCAAAGUCAGUUGCUGCAGCUUCAGGAGCAUACGGCACUCCUGCUGGAAGCUCUGGGAAGUGGCGACCCUCAGCUGUGGACGAAACUGCAGCUCUCCCUGCAGGACGAUAACAUGUAAUGGUGCAAGCCACGCGAGCAGAGACCGUACUUUACUUGUUGGUGACUUAACUAACAAUUGUGAGGAGCCAGCAUGUCACCAACAUCAACCUUUUUCCCCCACAUGGUUUUAUAUACAUAUUCUCUGUGUCAGGUUGUUAAGGAAUGAGCCAUGAUGAGACCAAUGAGACCAGACUUACCGAGGAGUGGCAUCACUAGUGUCAUGAUGUGUCAUGGAUCUUUGAGUACGACCUUGAGACCAAACGGCAGAGCCUUGAGUGGAGAACCUCGACAUCACCAAGGCGAGAGAACGCACGACAGUCCAAGUCCAAAGUCCAAGAAAUGUUGAUGGAAUUCUUCGAUAUGAGAAGCGUCGUCCACUGCUAGUUGUUGCCACAGGGGCAGCGAUCCACCAGGACGUCUGCAAAGAAAUCCUGCUGCAUUUACUUGGUUCAGUGCGUGAGAAGAGGUGUGCGUUGUGGCAGGACAACUGCUUCACCAUGACAACGCGCCUGCUCACAAUGCCCUGACAGUUCCUGGUUGAGAAGAACAUCGCCUUCCCUACUCGCAUGACCGAGCUCCUUAUUUUUAUUUAUUUAUUUCUUUCCUUUCCCAAGCUCAAGGAGAUGGAAAAAGGGGGGACCGUUUUGAAGACGUGUAUGACAUCAAGAUGGCUCUGAUGACAGCGGCGAAUGAUCCAUGAAGAAUCUUUCCAUGAAGGCGAUUCGUGAAGGCUGGGAAAGUGCAUUAGACCGCCGGGGAGAUUAUGUACCGUAUUUUUGCGACCAUAAGGCGCACCGUAUUAAAAGGCGCAGUCUCGGUUACGGGGUCUAUUUCUGUAUUUAACACAUGCAUAAGGCACACCGUAUUAUUGGGCGCAGGCGUGGUAAAACAACGCGAGUUUAAAACGUAAGGUAGCAUGCAUGCAUGUUAGCGUAUGUUUUGAAAAAGGCAGCGGGAGCAAAACUGAGUUCGGUUGUACUUUAUUGAAGUAUUUAACAAUGUACUCACGUUAUUUGUUGAUCAAUCCUCAUCCACAAAUCCAUCAAAGUCCUCAUCUUCUGUAUCCGAAAUGAACAGCCGGGCAAGUUCUCCAUCAAACAUCCCGGGUUCCCUCUCGUCAUUGUCGGAGUCAGUCUCCUUGCCGGGGGCCUGUUCAGCAACGGUGCCGGCUUUCACGAAAGCUCGGACAACGGUCAAAAGCAGAUACCUUAGCCCAGGCAUCCGCAAUCCAUUCACAUAUGGUAGCGUAACUCACCCGGCGCUUCGUCUUCUUGACUUGGCGAAGCUCGUUUUCCUGCUUCCUCCACUUGCGAACCAUGAAUUUGUUAAUCUUGAACUCUCUCGGGGCUGCUCGAUUCCCAUGUUCCUCCGCGUAACUGACAGCUUGCAGUUUAAACUGUGCUUCGUAAGCGUGUCUCUUCGUAGGUGCCAUUUUCGGGGGUCCUUAGCCAAAUCGAUGUUGUUUUGCACAAUGCACAUACCGCCGCCAUAUACCUACUGGGGGCGUGCCUUUAGCGGCCUCUUUGACGCGCACUCUUCCCCCUUUAACGUCCGCAUGCUGUCCUUAUGUUAUACAUUAUGCAGUCAACGCAUAAUAUACAAUUAAAUGGUGGAACAUGCUAUGUUCCAUGAGAUUGAUCGGCAUUCAGUUUGUUUGGAUUUCAAAUAAGUGUUCCCCAUUACAAAUAAUGGAAAUGGAUGUUGCGUUCUCCAGUUGAAUACUUUUUUAGGUAACGUUUUAAGGAACAUUUUUGCAUUGUUAAUUGUCACGUAAGUACAAAAAGUCAGUGGGUGUUCAAUUUCAGGGAUAGGUUUCGUUGAGGGUCUAUUGUCAGCAUAAACAUUACCUUAGUAAUGCCUUAAUUUCAAUUCUGUGUUUGAUCGCCAUUCAAUUUGAGUCACACGAGUCAAUUGGAACGCUAUGACUUUUUGUAUGAGUUUCUACUUAACAAAAUGUUGAAGACUUAUUUGCUAGUCCUCCUCUAAAUAAGGUUGAAAAAAUAAUUGGAACAAAAGGAUGACUUGUAAUGACAUUUGCAGUACAGUAACAUGAUCUUCGAUACAUUGUCCCUUUAUGGCAAACAUCCAUCCAUCCAUCCAUUUUCUGAGCCGCUUCUCCUCACUCGGGUCGCGGGAGUGCUGGAGCCUAUCCCAGCUAUCAUCGGGCAGGAGGCGGGGUACACCCUGAACGGGUUGCCAGCCAAUCGCAGGGCACAUACAAACAAACAAAGAACCAUUCGCACUCACAUUCACACCUACGGGCAAUUUAGAGUUGUCAGUUAACCUACCACGCAUGUUUUUGGGAUGUGGGAGGAAACCGGAGUGCCCGGAGAAAACCCACGCAGGCACGGGGAGAACAUGCAAACUCCACACAGGUCGGGCCGGGGAUUGAACCCCAGUCCUGAGAACUGUGAGACAGACGGUGCCAUUUUUAUGGCAAACUAUACAAAUAUUAAUUUCUACAGAUGCUCUUAGAACCGUGCAACCUCAGCAGUACUUGUGAACAAAAAGAUUAUCCUACCUUUUUAAGUAUUUCCAGAGGUGGGUAGAGUAGCCAAAUAUUGUACUUAAGUAAGAGUACUCUUACUCCGAAUAUUUACUUGAGUAAUAAAGUACUCAAUGAAAAAAUGACUCGAGUUACUUGUGGGUAACUUUGAGGUGUUUUUUUUUUUUUUAAAAUCAGCAUGAACAUCAAAUAAAAUACAUUUUAAAAAAAAUAAUAUAUGGGAGUGGACCCAGACCUGCCACCAUUUACAUGAACUGCCCAAAAACCAACAACACGUGCAUUGGGCCCUACAGAAAGAUAAUUUGCUUUAUUCACUGAAAUUACUUGAUGAAGAAGCUGUUUGCUGAACAGACUUAGUGAUUGCGUGUGCAACACCAUGUGAUAGAGCUAAUUUUGCCACAUCACUACCAAUACCAUAGAAACAUCUGCAACUUACCGCAAUGUGUUUUCUCAAGUUAGAAGCGGGCUGAAAUAUCCAAGUUUGGGCAGUCACAAUUUAAGAGCUGCAUGACAAAGCUGUUGUUUUUUGGAGUCUGCAAAGUUAACACGCUCGCGCUUCUGUUUUAUUUAUUUUUUCUCCCAAAUGAGUACUUUUGAUUGGCUCGCGAAGGCUACCUGCGUGGUCAUGUGACUGCCCUGUGUCGUCUGAUUGAUUGGUGAAUUGGAGUCAAGUGACAUUAGUGAUCACGUUGGAUUGGCGCAACGGGCGCCCUAUGCGGAAGUCAAAGAUGGAGUCUAAAAGUACAAGCGCACACGCAAGAAUGGACAAAUAAAAGUAGCGAAUGGCAUGUCGAUCAUAGUAACGGAGUAAAAGUAUCGAUCCUUCUUCACAUAAAUACUCAAGUAAAAGUAAAAAGUACGGUGCAUUUAAAGUACUCUGACAAGUACAGUUUUUCGAAAAUGUUAGUUGGGUAAAUGUAACGGAGUAAAUGUAGCAUGUUACUACUCACCUGUUUAUUUGUGAUGAGAUUUUAUUCUUGUCAAAGAUAAAAGCUAUUAUUUAAUGUUCCCUAGUACAUGGACAGUUUCCCAUAGAAAUGUUGUAUUCAUUGGUUAAAAAAAAAGAAACAAGGUUUAAUUGUAUUAAGUAAAGCUAUGUAGGCCCAUAAUGUUUUUUUGCUUUGUUUCUGUUACUUCCAUACUGGUUCCUGCAGCUGGUUUUUGUUUUGUUUUUGUAACGAGGUCAUAAUCAUACUAUUAUCGCUGACAAGUAAUAGUAACAUAUCAGACUCUUGCACUUUAGUGACCAGAAUAUCGCUCUGCUUGAAUUUAUUAUUCUUUUUUUUUAAUAUGUAAAAAUGAAUGGUUAACUGUGCCUUUUGAAUACUUGGACUGAUGUACCUUUUUACAAUGUCAUACCUCCCUAAAUACACAAUGAUGACACGAAGCCUUAUAGUACAUGGAGGAGUUUUAAUGGCAAGUUGAAAUACUGCAGUUCUUUUAUUUUGUCAAAGCAUAUAAUAAUAAGCAGUAAUAAGAUGGAGACGUAAACAAAUCUGUCCUGUUUUUAACAAACAAAUUGUAACUUUCUUUUCGUAAAACGUGCCUGUAGUUGCAAAAGUCACCGUGACUUAUAGUCAUAAAACUUUGUUUGAAAAAUGA